Molecule: ribosomal RNA, 1079 nt
Filed under: Nakataea oryzae
Lineage: Eukaryota; Fungi; Ascomycota; Sordariomycetes; Magnaporthales; Magnaporthaceae
Description: SSU rRNA
Rfam family: Eukaryotic small subunit ribosomal RNA
Source: RNAcentral
AAAGAUUAAGCCAUGCAUGUCUAAGUAUAAGCAAUUAUACAGCGAAACUGCGAAUGGCUCAUUAAAUCAGUUAUCGUUUAUUUGAUAGUACCUUACUACAUGGAUAACCGUGGUAAUUCUAGAGCUAAUACAUGCUGAAAACCCCGACUUCGGAAGGGGUGUAUUUAUUAGAUUAAAAACCAAUGCCCUUCGGGGCUCACUGGUGAUUCAUGAUAACUUCUCGAAUCGCACGGCCUUGCGCCGGCGAUGGUUCAUUCAAAUUUCUGCCCUAUCAACUUUCGACGGCUGGGUCUUGGCCAGCCGUGGUGACAACGGGUAACGGAGGGUUAGGGCUCGACCCCGGAGAAAACGCCUGAGAAACGGCGUUUACAUCCAAGGAAGGCAGCAGGCGCGCAAAUUACCCAAUGCCGACACGGCGAGGUAGUGACGAGAAAUACUGAUACAGGGCUCUUUUGGGUCUUGUAAUUGGAAUGAGUACAAUUUAAAUCUCUUAACGAGGAACAAUUGGAGGGCAAGUCUGGUGCCAGCAGCCGCGGUAAUUCCAGCUCCAAUAGCGUAUAUUAAAGUUGUUGCAGUUAAAAAGCUCGUAGUUGAACCUUGGGCCUGGCUGGCCGGUCCGCCUCACCGCGUGCACUGGUCCGGCCGGGCCUUUCCCUCUGGGGAGCCCCAUGCCCUUUACUGGGCGUGGCGGGGAACCAGGACUUUUACUUUGAAAAAAUUAGAGUGUUCAAAGCAGGCCUAUGCUCGAAUACAUUAGCAUGGAAUAAUAGAAUAGGACGUGUGGUUCUAUUUUGUUGGUUUCUAGGACCGCCGUAAUGAUUAAUAGGGACAGUCGGGGGCGUCAGUAUUCAAUUGUCAGAGGUGAAAUUCUUGGAUUUAUUGAAGACUAACUACUGCGAAAGCAUUCGUCAAGGAUGUUUUCAUUAAUCAGGAACGAAAGUUAGGGGAUCGAAAACGAUCAGAUACCGUUGUAGUCUUAACCAUAAACUAUGCCGACUAGGGAUCGGGCGGUGUUAUUUUUUGACCCGCUCGGCACCUUACACGAAAGUACAAGUUUCUGGGUUCUGGGGGGAGUAUGG